Molecule: ribosomal RNA, 478 nt
Filed under: uncultured bacterium
Lineage: Bacteria
Description: partial 16S ribosomal RNA
Rfam family: Bacterial small subunit ribosomal RNA
Source: RNAcentral
GAUGAACGCUGGCGGCGUGCUUAACACAUGCAAGUCGAACGAGAAGUGAAGACGGAAACCUUCGGGCGGAAGGCUUUAUUUCGAGUGGCGGACGGGUGAGUAACGCGUGGGUAACCUGCCUCAUACAGGGGGAUAACAGUUGGAAACGACUGUUAAUACCGCAUAAGACCACAGCACCGCAUGGUGCGGGGGUAAAAACUCCGGUGGUAUGAGAUGGACCCGCGUUCGAUUAGCCAGUUGGCGGGGUAACGGCCCACCAAAGCGACGAUCGAUAGCCGAUCUGAGAGGAUGUCCGGCCACAUUGGGACUGAGACACGACCCAAACUCCUACGGGAGGCAGCAGUAGGGAAUAUUGCACAAUGGGGGAAACCCUGAUGCAGCGACGCCGCGUGAGUGAAGAAGUAUUUCGGUAUGUAAAGCUCUAUCAGCAGGGAAGAAAAUGACGGUACCUGAGAAAGAAGCCCCGGCUAACUACGUG